RNAcentral lists this ribosomal RNA (253 nucleotides) under uncultured bacterium. RNAcentral describes it as "partial 16S ribosomal RNA". It matches the Rfam family "Bacterial small subunit ribosomal RNA", at positions 524 to 776 of the family's 1533-position model. The record is from RNAcentral.
UACGGGGGGGGUAAGCGUUGUUCGGAAUUACUGGGCGUAAAGGGCGCGUAGGCGGCCUGCUAAGUCGAACGUGAAAUCCCCGAGCUCAACUCGGGAACUGCGUCCGAUACUGGCAGGCUUGAAUCCGGGAGAGGGAUGCGGAAUUCCAGGUGUAGCGGUGAAAUGCGUAGAGAUCUGGAGGAACACCGAUGGCGAAGGCAGCCUUCUGGGCCAACACUGACGCUCAUGCACGAAAGCGUGGGGAGCAAACAGG